CCGCGCCAACGCGCCGAAUACUCCCAGCCCGGCUCCCGCGGCCAGGAGGGCGGCCACUCCUGCGCCCCCAGCCGCGGCUGGAGGGAGCGGGGCGAGCCGGGGACCCUGACCCCCUCCGGGUUCCGCCCCUCGGACCCACUCGGGGUCACGGGCUCGCGUGAGCUCGGCCGCGCUGACAAGUGGACGGUCGGCUGGAGUCCGGGGUCCUGGAUAAACUUUUCGGGGCCCCCUUGAUUUGGGGGGUUCAGAGGGUAUGAUGGGGUUUCGGUGGCGGGACCUCUUCCCCCUCCCGCAGAGCAGGCCCUGUCUCUGGCCCCCCCACUGUCCCUCAUCUCUGACCUCUCGUCCCCUCUCGGUGUAGACAGACGAGGGGACAGCGGUGGGAACCCCCUUAGUGUAGAUAGACGAGGGGACCGCGGUGGGCCGGGGCCGGACCCCUGAGCGAGGCCCCCUCUGCGGGGCGCGCUGCGGAAACCUCGCCUUCGGGUGGGGGCGGCCUCCUCAUGCCGCCCUGGUCACCUGUGGCUCCCAUCACCUGUGGCUCCCCCUCUGCUAGGUCGCGGUAGGGAUCCACUGCCCUCCCCAGGUCUGGGGAUGGGGGGCGGUCACACCCACCCCCGGUCCACCUGUCCACCUUCGGGCUUCUGGGCAGCCCUGGCUGGCGUUUCAGACCCUUCAGGGUUCCUUGAGACUUGAAUCUAUUUUUCCACCUGUAUCUCAGAAACCCCUGGGGUGUGGCUCCUGGGGCGGGGUUUGAGGGAAGUAGGAGGAUGCACAAAUGUUCUGAGUCAGAACCCACCCUCUCCCAGCCCAGAGACCCCUGCAGCCUGCGUGGGUCCCCUUCCCCUGGCCUCUGCCCUUAGGAAUGAGGAGCCCAGGAGAAUGGUGACCGGGAGUGGAGGACAGUGACGGAAAUGAAGCCUUCCUGGGUGUGUCCCGUGGGGCGGGGGGGGGAUCAAGGCUCAAGACUAGAUUGAGUCUCAUCUGGUCAUCUGGUCCCCUGGCUGGCCACCUGGCUGGCAGCCCUGCCUGCUGAUCCCCGGGAGCCUCCCCAACCCCACCCCAAACCUGCGCCCUCAGCUAGGAACUAGAACCCUGAGGUCCCCUCCCGUGGAAAAUGUCAAGUGUCCUUUGGGUGUUUGACCCCACGGCUUGUCUCCUCGACCCAGAGGCUCCCUGAGUUGGAGCCUGUCUGCCCCAUUAUGUCAUGGUUGCCUCCUGGGCAUCCUGGAACCGGGACCUGGGCUCUCCUGCUUUCAUCUCCCUGACUUGCUCUGGCACCACAGCCUACACUUUGCCUCCAGACCUGCUAUUCCUGGCCCAGCGCCCGGACCCUGAGGCCAAGGACAGCGAUGAUGAUGAUGAUGUCACUGUCACUGUGGACCGAGACCGCUUCAUGGAUGAGUUCUUUGAACAGGUGGAGGAGAUUCGAGGCUUCAUUGACAAGAUCGCAGAGAACGUGGAGGAGGUGAAGCGGAAGCACAGUGCCAUCCUGGCCUCCCCCAACCCCGAUGAGAAGACGAAGGAGGAGCUGGAAGAACUCAUGUCCGACAUAAAGAAGACAGCAAACAAAGUUCGUUCCAAGUUAAAGAGCAUCGAGCAGUCCAUCGAGCAAGAGGAAGGCCUGAACCGCUCCUCUGCUGACCUGAGGAUCCGGAAGACACAGCACUCCACGCUGUCCAGAAAGUUUGUGGAGGUCAUGUCGGAGUACAACGCCACGCAGUCCGACUACCGCGAGCGCUGCAAGGGCCGUAUCCAGAGGCAGCUGGAGAUCACCGGCAGGACCACGACCAGUGAGGAGCUGGAAGACAUGCUGGAGAGUGGGAACCCCGCCAUCUUUGCCUCUGGGAUCAUCAUGGACUCCAGCAUCUCGAAGCAGGCUCUGAGUGAAAUUGAGACGCGGCACAGCGAGAUCAUCAAGCUGGAGAACAGCAUCCGUGAGCUGCACGACAUGUUCAUGGACAUGGCCAUGCUUGUGGAGAGCCAGGGUGUUUUCCUGAAGUCCUGCCCCGAGCCCCAACCCAACCCUGAGGAGGGGGCCCUCUGGAGCUCGGGUGCCCCUGGCCCCACAGGGGGAGAUGAUUGACAGGAUCGAGUACAACGUGGAACACGCGGUAGACUACGUGGAAAGGGCUGUGUCUGACACCAAGAAAGCCGUCAAGUACCAGAGCAAGGCGCGCCGGAAGAAAAUCAUGAUCAUCAUCUGCUGUGUGAUCCUGGGCAUCGUCAUCGCCUCCACUGUCGGGGGCAUCUUCGCCUAGAAGCCACCCAAACUGCCACUCCACUCCGGGUGGGCCACUCUGAGGAGGCCCUGGCUGCUGCUACUUGGCUGGGCUGCCCUCCCAACCCCCGCCUCUGGCUCAGAGCACCCUCCCUCCUGGCCCCCAUGCUCCCUUCUCUGCCAUGGGCCCUCUGUCCCCGCCCCGUGUUGUGUGCAUGAUCUUUGUGUGCGUCUGUAUGGAAGAGGCAGAGGGAGGCAGCCAGCGGGGCGGGACGCAGUGUGCGCAGCGAGGGGCAGACCCAGGCAGGGCCGCCAGGGUGACACAGGCCAUCCUUGCCUUCAGUAACUCGGUGGGCCUGGGUUCUCCUCUUCCCUGGGGACCCUAACCUUGCCUCCAACUGACCUGCCCUGUCCUCUGGCCUCUCCAGCUGUCCCCACAAGCAGAGCCCUGAGGGGUGGGGACCAGCUGGCCACAUGGUGCUGCUUUUCAGGUUAGGGGAGAGGUGGCCAUGAGGGACAGCCCAGCUCUGAGCCUCAAUCGCUGAUCACUGCCAGGGAGACUCAGGCUGCCAUGGCUCCAGGCUCCCUCCCCUGCCUAGGGGCAAAGUCCAUCGGGUCCUGGGCCUCAGCUUCCCUUCUGACAUUCCUCCAGCCCCAGGAGCAACCCCUUAGGCUGGGCCUGACCCCAGGUGUCCCUCUGGAAGGGGCUGGUUGGUGCCCCAUCUCCAGCCACCCCAGCAGCCAGGGAGGCAGAGCAGGCUGCUGUCAGGCCCUCGAGCCAGCGUUGCAUGUUUGGGAUGGUGGCCCCUGCUGUCUUGCGCUCUGGGAAGUCAGAUGUCAUUUCAGGCCUGCAGUCUCAUCCUGCCCUUGCCAUCCCCCAUCAACGUGCCACGUGGGUGUCAGGUGUCCCGGAUGCACUAUUCGGCAGCCAGCCAGGGAGGGCUACCUCGUCCUCCUCACCACCUUGGGGCUUCUCAUGGGAAAUGUGCCCCCGCCCCAGCACCCCCUCCCUCGUGGACAGGCAGGGAGAUGCAUGCGAGUGCAUGCAGCAGGGGAUGGGGCCGUGUCCGUGUGCCCCACCCUCCCUCGGCUUUACUCCUGCCCAGUGACUGUGACCGUCCGUGUUGCCUUCUUGAACAGCGAUUCCCCCUAACCCCUUCACCAAAGGUCUUGGUACAACCAGCUGCCCAUUUUGUGAAAUUUUUAUGUAGAAUAAACAUUUGUAUCUGUA
This is a non-coding RNA of Chlorocebus sabaeus (green monkey), 3452 nucleotides long. Lineage: Eukaryota; Metazoa; Chordata; Mammalia; Primates; Cercopithecidae. The record is from RefSeq and is a predicted model, not a curated record.